UUGCAGGCUGCAACUCGCCUGCAUGAAGUUGGAAUUGCUAGUAAUCGCGAAUCAGAAUGUCGCGGUGAAUACGUUCCCGGGCCUUGUACACACCGCCCGUCACACCAUGAGAGUCGAUAACACCCGAAGCCUGUGAGCUAACCUUUUAGGAGGCAGCAGUCUAAGGUGGGGUCAGUGAUUGGGGUGAAGUCGUAACAAGGUACC
RNAcentral lists this ribosomal RNA (204 nucleotides) under uncultured bacterium. Its description in RNAcentral is "partial 16S ribosomal RNA". It matches the Rfam family "Bacterial small subunit ribosomal RNA", at positions 1298 to 1500 of the family's 1533-position model. The record is from RNAcentral.